GACGAACGCUGGCGGCGUGCUUAAUACAUGCAAGUCGAACGGAAAGGCCCUGCUCUUGCGGGGUUCUCGAUUGGCGAACGGGUGAGUAACACGUGAGUAACCUGCCCUUGACUUUGGGAUAACUUCAGGAAACUGGGGCUAAUACCGGAUAGGAGCUCCUGCUGCAUGGUGGUGGUUGGAAAGUUUCGGCGGUUGGGGAUGGAAUCGAGGCUUAUGAGCUUGUUGGUGAGGUAGUGGCUUACCAAGCGUUUGACGGGUAGCCGGCAUGAGAGGGUGACCGGGCACAUUGGGACUGAGAUACGGACCAGACGCCUACGGGAGGCAGCAGUGGGGAAUAUUGCACAAUGAGCGGAAGCCUGAUGCAGCAACGCCGCGUGCGGGAUGACGGCCUUCGGGUUGUAAACCGCUUUCGCCUGUGACGAAGCGUGAGUGACGGUAAUGGGUAAAGAAGCACCGGCUAACUACGUG
RNAcentral lists this ribosomal RNA (468 nucleotides) under uncultured bacterium. RNAcentral's name for it is "partial 16S ribosomal RNA". It matches the Rfam family "Bacterial small subunit ribosomal RNA", at positions 28 to 507 of the family's 1533-position model. The record is from RNAcentral.